Molecule: non-coding RNA, 45 nt
Filed under: Schistosoma curassoni
Lineage: Eukaryota; Metazoa; Platyhelminthes; Trematoda; Strigeidida; Schistosomatidae
Source: RNAcentral
AUCCGGCUGACGAGUCCCAAAUAGGUCGAAACGUAUGUCCUAGAU